Molecule: long non-coding RNA, 378 nt
Organism: Hibiscus syriacus
Lineage: Eukaryota; Viridiplantae; Streptophyta; Magnoliopsida; Malvales; Malvaceae
Exons: 3
Source: RefSeq, a predicted model, not a curated record
CGUUAUUAGUCCUAACCCCAAUUCCAAUCAAAUCUGGGAUUGUCCGGGUUCAUCGCAAAAGCCCAGUAAACACAGCAUAUACAUUUUCUUGCAAAACAAAUCAAUACAGGAAAUCUGUUUAUUUCUUUUCAGAUCUUCAUGGCUAAUCACUACGGUUUCUUCUCACUCGGAGCAAAUUAUAAUAAACGGUGGUGAGACAGCGAAGGACACUUCGAAACUAUCGGAUUCAAAGCGUUGGAGAAGAGAAUAAUAAAAUGGCGGCAGGUGGAUUUGUGAGCCGAGCAUUCGAGUCGAUGCUCAAGGAAUGUUCCAGCAAAAAACAUCCUGAUCUUUACAAGGCUAUUCAAACUUAUUUAGAUGGUCCGAAACAAAGGGGUC